GACGAACGCUGGCGGCGUGCUUAACACAUGCAAGUCGAACGGAAAGGCCCCUUUGGGGGUACUCGAGUGGCGAACGGGUGAGUAACACGUGAGUAACCUGCCCUUGACUUCGGGAUAACUUCAGGAAACUGGGGCUAAUACCGGAUAGGAAUCCUUGCUGCAUGGUGGGGGUUGGAAAGCUUCGGCGGUUUUGGAUGGACUCGCGGCUUAUCAGCUUGUUGGUGGGGUAGUGGCUUACCAAGGCUUUGACGGGUAGCCGGCCUGAGAGGGCGACCGGCCACAUUGGGACUGAGAUACGGCCCAGACUCCUACGGGAGGCAGCAGUGGGGAAUAUUGCACAAUGGGCGGAAGCCUGAUGCAGCAACGCCGCGUGCGGGAUGACGGCCUUCGGGUUGUAACCCGCUUUCAGCAGGGGCGAAGCUUUUGUGACGGUACCUGCAGAAGAAGCACCGGCUAACUACGUG
This 464-nucleotide ribosomal RNA is filed under the name uncultured bacterium. RNAcentral describes it as "partial 16S ribosomal RNA". It matches the Rfam family "Bacterial small subunit ribosomal RNA", at positions 28 to 507 of the family's 1533-position model. The record is from RNAcentral.